Molecule: non-coding RNA, 21 nt
Filed under: Caenorhabditis elegans
Lineage: Eukaryota; Metazoa; Nematoda; Chromadorea; Rhabditida; Rhabditidae
Source: RNAcentral
UGCUUGCUUCUUGCAUAAAAA